GUGAGUCAUCGAAUCUUUGAACGCAACUUGCGCUCUCUGGUAUUCCGGAGAGCAUGCCUGUUUGAGUGUCAUGAAAUCUCAACCAUUAGGGUUUCUUAAUGGCUUGGAUUUGGAGGUUUGCCAGUCUGACUGGCUCCUCUUAAAGGAGUUAGCAAGUUUGACUAUUGCUAUCUGGCGUAAUAAGUUUCGCUGGAAUGGUAUUGUGAAGCGUGCUUCUAAUCGUCUUUGGACAAUUAUUUUGACUCUGGCCUCAAAUCAGGUAGGACUACCCGCUGAACUUAAGCAUAUCAAUAAGCGGAGGA
RNAcentral lists this unclassified non-coding RNA (302 nucleotides) under Apiotrichum sp. Its description in RNAcentral is "partial contains 5.8S ribosomal RNA, internal transcribed spacer 2, and large subunit ribosomal RNA". The stretch from base 1 to 71 matches the Rfam family "5.8S ribosomal RNA", at positions 84 to 154 of the family's 154-position model. The record is from RNAcentral. Lineage: Eukaryota; Fungi; Basidiomycota; Tremellomycetes; Trichosporonales; Trichosporonaceae.